UCAAGAAGAAAAAAUAGUGGCCCAUUAAUUAAUAUUUAUGCGUGUUGAAUGGGUUAACAUUUUUGUCAAGGGAAGAAAAGACAAUCGGACAAUGAUUAAUUAAUAAUAGAGUGAUCCUAAAACGAUUAUUUAAUUAUACCACAGAGGCAAAUGUUACUAAUUCAAUCCAGUUUAUUAGUUAUUAUGAUGAUUAUUAGUUUGGAUGAAAAGUAAAAUAAUUCUUUACGUGUCUAAUGGGUGGUACUUUCUUGGCAAAUAUUUUAAUACUCUUUAGUCGGGUACCAUUUUAAUCCUUUGAUUUAAUGCCUAAUUUGAAGUUAAUCCUUUAAUUUGUGAUCUCAUGGUCAACAUAUCCUGUUAUGCUCUUUGAAUUUACAUAACUCCCUUUCCUAGUUAUUUGAUUUCCGUUAUAUUUGUAUACCGAAUUCAAGUUGUGGGGAAGAAAUCGUCAAGAAUUACAAUUGAAGAAAAGGGAAAGAAUGGAUUUUGCAAGCAGAAGAUUGUUCACUAGUCCCAAGAACAGAAACUGAAUCAACUCAAUUAGUUGACUCUGGAAAGAUUUUCACCGGAAGAAACAUAGGGGGCUUUUUUUCAAAAAAAAAAAAAGACAAAUUCGGAAAGACAAAUGAAUUAGAGAUGGAAUAAGUCAAUAGAGGACUGUAGCUUAGUUACCAGAAACUGAAUCAACUCACUAAAUUGACCAGAAGCGGAAAAUUCAGAAUGAGUACUAAUGAAAGUUAUAGAUGGAAUAAGUUAAUAAAAGACUGUAACUUGUCUUCAUUGUGGGAUCUUGAUUG
This 797-nucleotide long non-coding RNA is filed under the name Citrus maxima (pomelo). RNAcentral's name for it is "long non-coding RNA (CMAX_LNC001214)". The record is from RNAcentral. Lineage: Eukaryota; Viridiplantae; Streptophyta; Magnoliopsida; Sapindales; Rutaceae.